Molecule: ribosomal RNA, 217 nt
Filed under: uncultured bacterium
Lineage: Bacteria
Description: partial 16S ribosomal RNA
Rfam family: Bacterial small subunit ribosomal RNA
Source: RNAcentral
UACGAAGGGGGGCUAGCGUUGCUCGGAAUUACUGGGCGUAAAGCGCACGUAGGCGGCUUUCUAAGUCGGGGGUGAAAUCCUGGAGCUCAACUCCAGAACUGCCUUCGAUACUGGAAAGCUCGAGUCCGGGAGAGGUGAGUGGAACUGCGAGUGUAGAGGUGAAAUUCGUAGAUAUUCGCAAGAACACCAGUGGCGAAGGCGGCUCACUGGCCCGGUA